CUGCGGAAGGAUCAUUACCGAAUUGUCAAACGGGUUGUUGCUGGUCUUCAAACGGGGACAUGUGCACGCUCUGUUUACACAUCCACUCACACCUGUGCACCCUCCGUAGUUCUAUGGUCUGGGGGACCCUGUCUUCCUGCCGUGGUUCUACGUCUUUACACACACUCUGUAAUAAAGUCUUAUGGAAUGUAUGCCGCGUCUAACGCAAUACAAUACAACUUUCAGCAACGGAUCUCUUGGCUCUCGCAUCGAUGAAGAACGCAGCGAAAUGCGAUAAGUAAUGUGAAUUGCAGAAUUCAGUGAAUCAUCGAAUCUUUGAACGCACCUUGCGCCCCUUGGCUAUUCCGAGGGGCAUGCCUGUUUGAGUAUCAUGAACACCUCAACUCUCAUGGUUYGCCAUGAUGAGCUUGGACUCUGGGGGUUUUGCUGGCCUGYGGUCGGCUCCCCUCAAAUGAAUCAGCCUCCCAGUGUUUGGUGGCAUCACGGGUGUGAUAAAUAUCUACGCUCGCGGUUGUCUGCCAGGUAACCUUUGGUGACAAAGGUUCGCUGGAGCUCACAGAUGUCUCUCCUCGGCGAGGACAGCUUUUUUGAACGUUCGAUCUCAAAUCAGGUAG
Molecule: ribosomal RNA, 614 nt
Filed under: uncultured Tomentella
Lineage: Eukaryota; Fungi; Basidiomycota; Agaricomycetes; Thelephorales; Thelephoraceae
Description: eukaryotic LSU rRNA
Rfam family: 5.8S ribosomal RNA (bases 217-371)
Source: RNAcentral